CCUACGGGGGGCUGCAGUGGGGAAUAUUGGACAACGGGGGCAACCCUGAUCCAGCCAUGCCGCGUGUGUGAAGAAGGCCCUCGGGUUGUAAAGCACUUUCAGUGAGGAAGAACGCCUGGUGGUUAAUACCCAUCAGGAAAGACAUCACUCACAGAAGAAGCACCGGCUAACUCCGUGCCAGCAGCCGCGGUAAUACGGAGGGUGCGAGCGUUAAUCGGAAUUACUGGGCGUAAAGCGCGCGUAGGUGGCUUGAUAAGCCGGUUGUGAAAGCCCCGGGCUCAACCUGGGAACGGCAUCCGGAACUGUCAAGCUAGAGUGCAGGAGAGGAAGGUAGAAUUCCCGGUGUAGCGGUGAAAUGCGUAGAGAUCGGGAGGAAUACCAGUGGCGAAGGCGGCCUUCUGGACUGACACUGACACUGAGGUGCGAAAGCGUGGGUAGCAAACAGGAUUAGAUACCCCGGUAGUC
This 465-nucleotide ribosomal RNA is filed under the name Vreelandella stevensii. RNAcentral's name for it is "partial 16S ribosomal RNA". It matches the Rfam family "Bacterial small subunit ribosomal RNA", at positions 338 to 795 of the family's 1533-position model. Lineage: Bacteria; Pseudomonadati; Pseudomonadota; Gammaproteobacteria; Oceanospirillales; Halomonadaceae. The record is from RNAcentral.